GAUGAACGCUGGCGGCGUGCCUAAUACAUGCAAGUCGAGCGAACAGAUAAGGAGCUUGCUCCUUUGACGUUAGCGGCGGACGGGUGAGUAACACGUGGAUAACCUACCUAUAAGACUGGGAUAACUUCGGGAAACCGGAGCUAAUACCGGAUAACAUAUUGAACCGCAUGGUUCAAUAGUGAAAGGCGGCUUUGCUGUCACUUAUAGAUGGAUCCGCGCCGUAUUAGCUAGUUGGUAAGGUAACGGCUUACCAAGGCAACGAUACGUAGCCGACCUGAGAGGGUGAUCGGCCACACUGGAACUGAGACACGGUCCAGACUCCUACGGGAGGCAGCAGUAGGGAAUCUUCCGCAAUGGGCGAAAGCCUGACGGAGCAACGCCGCGUGAGUGAUGAAGGUCUUCGGAUCGUAAAACUCUGUUAUCAGGGAAGAACAAAUGUGUAAGUAACUGUGCACAGCUUGACAGUACCUGAUCAGAAAGCCACGGCUAACUACGUG
RNAcentral lists this ribosomal RNA (497 nucleotides) under uncultured bacterium. RNAcentral describes it as "partial 16S ribosomal RNA". It matches the Rfam family "Bacterial small subunit ribosomal RNA", at positions 28 to 507 of the family's 1533-position model. The record is from RNAcentral.